GACGUAGGGCGCAAGCGUUGUCCGGAUUUAUUGGGCGUAAGAGCUCGUAGGCGGCCUGUCGCGUCGACCGUGAAAACCCGCAGCUCAACUGCGGGCUUGCGGUCGAUACGGGCAGGCUGGAGUUCGGUAGGGGAGACUGGAAUUCCUGGUGUGAGCGGUGAAAUGCGCAGAUAUCAGGAGGAACACCGGUGGCGAAGGCGGGUCUCUGGGCCGAUACUGACGCUGAGGAGCGAAAGCGUGGGGAGCGAACAGG
This 253-nucleotide ribosomal RNA is filed under the name uncultured bacterium. Its description in RNAcentral is "partial 16S ribosomal RNA". It matches the Rfam family "Bacterial small subunit ribosomal RNA", at positions 524 to 776 of the family's 1533-position model. The record is from RNAcentral.